CUUCAUUCUAAAUAGGCAGAAACUGAGGCUUAGAGAUGGGAGGUGACUUGUCCCAGACCCCAGAGCAUGACCAGGGCUAAAACCCACAUCUUCUGAUUCCACACCCAUGUUCUAUCAUGUGGAUUUCUAGUCCUAGAACUCGAGUUUCCAUUUUGUAAAUAGGAACGUCAUUAAGAAUGAAAAUAAAAAUCUCUGAAAAUAAGAAUACUUAGACUCUAUGCCCAGCUGAGUGACCCUAAGCUGUCAUUUGAUUUCUCUGUAGAGUUCUCUUCAAGACAGUAAAAUCAGGGCUUAGUACUUUGAAGGACAAGGAAAUCUCUCUACUGCAAAUUAUACGAGCAAAGCGUCCCAUAUGAGGAUACUCAGUGUAAAAUCCCACCCCAUGCCUAGCCUCACUACCCCUACAAGGAUUGUCUCCUAAGCUUUCCCUGGAACCUCAGUGCUUGAUAUAGAUUUCAAUCAGAUUUCAUCUGCUAAUCUGCCUGGUGAGCUGAGCUGAGCAUCUGAGAGUACAGCCCAUUUCAGAGAAUAGGUACCAACUUCCUGGGCAAUUUCUUAGCCAGAGUUCCAAAGCUGUCUGUGAAGUGGGAACAAAGAGGCUCCUGGCUCCCAGGUUACUCCCACCUCAAAGGCCCCAGCCUCAGAUGCCCCAAAUACAAACCAAACAAGCAGAGUACACUGCACACCUCUCACCCCACCAAAACUGUGUAGUGUCUUCAAAGACAUGGUAAGAAGCUGUGAUCUACAGUCACCAGGCCCAAACCAGCUCACAAAGGAAUUUCUAGAAGACUGCUCCACAACCAGAGGAAGCCUCUAUAGACUGGCAGAAACAAGGCCUGGAGAGAAAGACCUCAGAAUGGAGUAUGCUAGUUUUAAGAAUUUAAUCUUCAGAGUACCUGGGUAGCUCAGUUGGUUAAGUAUCUGCCUUUGGCUCAGGUCAUGAUCCCAGGGCCCUGGGUUCCUGCUCAGCAGGGAGCCUGCUUCCCUCUCCCGCUUCCCCUUCUUGUGCUCUCUC
Canis lupus familiaris (dog) is the source of this 1015-nucleotide long non-coding RNA. RefSeq lists it as uncharacterized. The record is from RefSeq and is a predicted model, not a curated record. The transcript is spliced from 3 exons. Lineage: Eukaryota; Metazoa; Chordata; Mammalia; Carnivora; Canidae.